GGCUAGCCUUACUGUUAUUAACCUUUAAUAAUUAGUCGUCACGUUCGGUGCACGUAUUUACAUAAAAUAAUGGCCACCAUGUGAUACCAUUAUUAUAUUGUUUUUAUUCUCUCCAGAAACUUCAUGCUUCCUCCAUAUCAGUUUCUUUCUCUUAAAGCUUUGCAAGUCUCCCAGAUCAUAUCGCCUGACUUACCGAAAAAAAAAUGGUUGCAGCAGAUGAGCUGAUUGAGGAUUAUUGGCCUUUCAAAUUCAGAAAACCUUCAGCGAAAAAUCUUUCUUAUGCGUUGAAAGAUGUCAAUAUCUCUAGUGUUGGAGUUUCUGGCAUGGGUGGAGUGGGGAAGAAUACUUUUUCCAAGGAAGUUGGUAGGAAAGCCAUUGAAUAUCUCCUCAAGGUUUUUGUAGAGGUAUCAGAAACUCCAGAUCUAGAAAGGAUUCAAUGAGCUAGCUCACAGGAGUUAGAUCUUGAAAGAUUGAUUAAGAGUAAUAAGAUACUCUUAAUUUUGGAUGAUGUUUGGAAUGAUCUAGAUCUGAGGACUGUUGGAAUUCCUCCUAUAGCUUGGAGGAUCUUCAGGAAAACUCCAGGUGAUGUUAUUGAAUCACCUGGAAUGAUAUAUGCAAGGAUGUGAAGGAUUACCUAUUGCCAUUUGAACUAUAAAAAGGGCAUUGAAGAACAUGACAAAUUGGUUUGAAUGGCAAGUUGUCUCGCGAGAAUUGAGAAUGCCUUCACUAACAAAGUUCAUGCAUUUUCCCAGAAGAUCAUGAAAUCAAAAUAAUUUUUUAUGCAUCUAAUAUAAUAGAAAAUGAUCCGUUUCAAACUCGUUCAAGCAUAUUGUGAGUAUGGACAUACUUGAAGGAGUUAACCUUACAAUGGAGUAAGCACGAAAUAGACUAGAUAAAGUGGUUUCGAACUCAAAGCCUCUUGAUUGGUAUUCAACAAUAUAAAUUAGAUGAAGUGGUUGGUGAACUCAAAGACUCUUGUUUGUUACUUGAUGAAGUGACUAGGUAAAGUGGUUCAUCAGCACUCAUAGACACUUGAUUUAAAGUGGUUCAUGAGCUCAAAGACUCUUGAUUGUUACUUACUGUUCCAUUAGUUAACAAUAUCCUAUUCAUGAUGUUGUUCAUGAUGUUAUGAUAACAAUUAGCUUUCAGUCUUAUGGUUAUACGGAACUUGAAUUUUUCUACUAAUAUGGAGGUUCCUUAAACUUUCCAGAUAAUUUUUCAAGGUAUUGCAAAAGCUGAAAGUCUUAAAUUUGUUUAUAAUGUUGCUACCAUUGUUGCUGCUAUUGUUUGGCCUCCUGAUAAAUGUUCAAAUAUUGGGUUUAGAUUAUAGCAGGAAUAGAAAGUGCUGCUAUUAUCGGAGAACCGAAGAAACUAAAAGUCCUCAGUAAGGAGUCAAGAAUCAGGUUGAUUGACUCAACUAAGGUUGUUAGAUUCAAACAAAUGGGAGCAAUUUGAAGUUAUUGCUCCAUGUAUAAUAUCUAGCUCAUUUCAAAGUAAGUGUACAAGGGGAAACUCUGUUGAAUGGAAAUGUAAUGUCAAAAGGUUGGCCCUGUUCAUCCAUUUGCUCAAUUGUUAACAUGUGGUUGGGCAUUUAUUAUGUUCUCUUUUUGCAUCUAUUAUUAUCUUGUAAUAGAAAUGUUUUGUUGAAUUUCAUCAAUAAUGGCGUACAAUUUCAUUUUUGGU
Long non-coding RNA from Mangifera indica (mango), 1683 nucleotides. RefSeq lists it as uncharacterized. The transcript has 2 exons. The record is from RefSeq and is a predicted model, not a curated record. NCBI's taxonomy places the organism in Eukaryota, Viridiplantae, Streptophyta, Magnoliopsida, Sapindales, Anacardiaceae.